AUUUCACUAAGCAGCCUCCUGUGGAAAGAGGGAGACUUGAUUAGUGUGUGUGCAUAUAAGUUGCCUGUCCACAUUUGGAAACUCAGCCACUGAGAGAUACAUCAGCUUGAUGUUCACUGCCAUUCUAAAGCUCUCUGCAUUCUUUGUGAAAAGGUUUUGAUGGUGUAAGAAAAUAAGAAAGCCACAUCUUCAAAAUGCAGCUUCUGAAACCAGAUAAAAGCUUGAAUUCCACUUGGAGAGGCUGAUCCACAGGGGCAAAUGCAAAAGGAAGGUGCUCAAGGCCUGUGUCCUGGGAUGCUGAAGGGACAUUCAAUCCCAAGGCAGGGUUCACA
This 332-nucleotide long non-coding RNA is filed under the name Gallus gallus (chicken). The record is from RNAcentral. Lineage: Eukaryota; Metazoa; Chordata; Aves; Galliformes; Phasianidae.